AUCCUGAACAAUACCAUCAGCUCUGACUGCCUGCAGAAGCAGACUUGCAUGAGCAUAAGCAGCACGGGGCUACCUCAAGCCACGGUUCAACUCUGACUGCAGGUCUGACAAUGGGUCACUCACCUGUCAUACCUGCAAUGGACCUGCACAGGGGCUAAACCUCCACUCAGGGUAGAGGUUGAGGGCCCUGUACCACAGGCAGAGCAGCUAUGUGGGCGCAGGAGUUGGAGGACUGAGUGAGUGUUUUGCAGAGAGAACUGCAGUGGGGCGUGAUUGACAGGAAUGGUGUACUCGUAAUGGAUUCCAUAAUUUUGGUCAUGAAAUAACAGCACCUGGAUCAGCAGCAAAGAUCAAAGGCCAUUUUGAAAUGGAGCAGAAGUCUACAAGCUUGCAGAAUUGGCGAACGAAGCCACACUGUGGCUGGCUCUCUCUACCAUAGAAAGUACAGAUAACUUUCCUACUUUCGAGGGACAUCUGGGGCUGGGUCGGGGCCGGAAUGGUACUGGGAAGUCUCGGAAGCCAGGAUCAGAAGCUGAGGGACUCGCUUGCUGCUGCUUUGAUGGAAGAACCAUGCCACUGACUGUGGAAUGGGGCUUGCUCCUGGGAUACUGAGAUCAGGUCAAAGGCAAUGUCUGCCAUCCUCCAAGGCCUGGUGCCCCCCAAGGGGCAGAAAUUCUUCCAGGUCAGCGUUGGAAGAGAGGAAGCACUUGUUCAAGCUGCCAUCUUAGAAAGUUUAGCAGUGUCUGUCAGUCUUGACAGCAAAUGCCUGGGCAUUGUUAUAGAUCCAGCUCUGGAAGUUUUACAAAUUCCUGUUCUACCUGAUGCUUAGGGAGACUCAGAUGUAAACACAGUUCGGUCUGAGGGCUGAAGUCAGUUGUCUCACUUCAUAUGCCCUGAUCCUGAUUCCCAGGCAGGAUGAUUUUAACCAGCUGGGGUGUGGUCCUCUAGUGUGAUUCCUUCCAGACACUUCCCAAUGCCAUGGGGAAUGGCAACACUGGCUCAACUCAACAGCCCGCCAGUGGUCCCGGCACUACUCUCUCCUCACAGAGGGAGGCAAGGAGUUCUGAUU
This is a long non-coding RNA of Mustela erminea (ermine), 1069 nucleotides long. RefSeq lists it as uncharacterized. NCBI's taxonomy places the organism in Eukaryota, Metazoa, Chordata, Mammalia, Carnivora, Mustelidae. The transcript has 5 exons. The record is from RefSeq and is a predicted model, not a curated record.